GGCGCGGCGCGGCGCGGGCGCGGAGCGUGGGAAGAGCGGGCGGAGCUCUCGGAAGCCAAGUCCGCAGCGUUGCGCCUCCCGCGGGUGGCUGCGCCGCGGGGCCGAGGUUGCUGUGCUGCGCCGGAAGCCACCGGCCGCCCAGGUAGGAGCUUCAGGGCGGGAUGAGCCAGGCAGGCCGCGCGUGACCCCUGCAUUCCCGCCCGGCCGGCAGCGCUUACCCCUCCGCUGCCGGCUCGCAGGCAGGCGAGCGCGGACGGCGGCCUGGGCGGUGCAGGCCUGAGCGGCCGCAGCCUCGGACGCACUAACCUGAACGGCGCCCUGCCACUCAGCUUCCCGAUCAAGGCGUAGAACUCUCAGCUCCUCCAGCACUAUGUCUGCCUGCACACCGCCAUACUUCCCGCCAUGAUGACAAUGGACUACACCUCCAAAACUAGCCCUGGGUUCAUGGAUUCCUGCUGUCAUUUCACGUGGUUGAUGAGAAGUGUCCGUAAAAAGCCAGGUUCCCAGGCUGGCCUCUGAGCAUAGAUGGCAGAAGGGAGGAUCCUGUCCCUGCUCAGGAGUCAUCCUUACCCCCUGAAAUCAAAUACUACACGUAGCACCCUGUAAAACUGCUUCCUUGUAGGCUUCAACAUGCUUGCUAAGUAAACAUCUGCCCAUGUUUUUGGAACUGAAUUCAUCUCUGCUUCCUGGUCAUUCCUUUUGGGCUUUUCUGUUCUCAGUGCUCCAUAGAAUCAGGUUAAUGGAAGAAAGACCUAGAAUUAGUCAGAGGCACCUAAGAUGACUGCUUUAAUCUUAGUAAGAUUCUGAGGAG
Molecule: long non-coding RNA, 811 nt
Filed under: Cricetulus griseus (Chinese hamster)
Lineage: Eukaryota; Metazoa; Chordata; Mammalia; Rodentia; Cricetidae
Description: lncRNA (ENSCGRG00015017677.2)
Source: RNAcentral